UUGGGACCUGGUGCCUGUACCGCCCUGGCUGC
Molecule: non-coding RNA, 32 nt
Filed under: Homo sapiens (human)
Lineage: Eukaryota; Metazoa; Chordata; Mammalia; Primates; Hominidae
Source: RNAcentral